Non-coding RNA from Sus scrofa (pig), 2889 nucleotides. The record is from RefSeq and is a predicted model, not a curated record. Lineage: Eukaryota; Metazoa; Chordata; Mammalia; Artiodactyla; Suidae.
CACCGGAUCCUUAAUGGAGUGAGGCCAGGGAUCGACAUGCAACCUCAUGGUUCCUAGUUGAUUUCGUUAACCAUUGAGCCACGAUGGGAACCCCUCCUUUUUAUUUAUUAAAGAAAUAGGAUUACACUAACUACAUAUUUUUGAAAUCCACUUUUUAUUUAGCAGUACUGGGAAUUUGCUCCUUGUUUUUUAUCUUUUUUGGGCUGAACGUGUGGCAUAUGGCAGCUCAUGGGCUGGGAAUCGAAUCUAAGCCACAGCUAAGGCCUAUGCCACAGGCACGGCAUCACCAGAUCUGAGCCAUAUCUGCCACCUGUGGCAUAGCUUGGUUCAACAACAGAUCCUAAACCCACUGAGUGAGGCCAGGGAUUGAUCCUGCUUCCUCAUAGACUCUAUGUCAGGUUCUUAACCUGCUGAGCCGCAACGGUAACUUCCUUAAUUGUUGAUUCAAUUGUUAAUUGAAUGUAGUCUGGAAUUGCUGUGUGAUGUCCCAUUAGAAGGAUAUAAAGUGGGUAAGUGUACAUAUUCUCUAAGCGGGUCCCCCCUCCCACCACGCUUUGUCCCCCUUGUAACCCAGUGAUAAGUUCAGUGGGCAUGUGUUUCACUGACAUCUCUGCACAUCCCACUGCUCCUUUCCUUGAAAUACAGUGAGCAAAGGAUAUCCCUGGAGUUUCACCUUGUAUGUAAAAUCGAGUCCUCUGGGAUGGCUAGGUGACAGACAGAAGCCCCAUGGGAAGCUGGCCCCAUCUGAGCAGGCCAGUUUCUGACAAAUGAGGAGUGAUCUUACCCGGUCCAUCCUACCUGACUCAUGGUACCGUGUGUACCCAAGACUCAAGUGGAAGGAGGUCAUUCCCCGUGAAUGAGGGUGUCUCUGCUAAUGUGUUCCUCGUCCGUGGUCUUUCACAGCUCAGUCUCCCCCCUGUGGGUGCCCCUUCUGCGAACACCUGCAUGUGCACGUUGCCACAGCUUUAGAAAUGGCAUUAACUCCAGGUGAGAUGGGUUAGGAACCAUUUCUGGGUGACAAGAGAAAGGGAUUAGGGGGCAUGUCGGAAACGUUCACAAAGAUGUGAAAAGUGGACUCGGGCUCCAUGUCUUUUUAUUUCAGAAUUUAAAAAGCUGAGAGUCGAAGCGGAGCCCAGAGGAAGAAAUGAAACCCAAAGUCGUUCCCUGAUCAAGAGGAGAAGGGCCGCUGCCAUGGCAUUAGUGACCUAGCAACUGGGAACGCUGGAGGUGCAGACAAUGGGCAGGAGAAUGUGGAAUCAGCGGAAGGCUGAGGACAGGACCUGGGACUCAAAGGCCAGGUUCACAGUGUGGCUGAGAACCCAGCUCUGUCCAUACUGAGGAGCCAGGUGCCGAGAGGAGAUGUCGGAUGGGGGACCUGAGAUCCAUGGCAAGUGUUCCUUGCCAAGCGGGCCUUCCUUUGCCCCAGAUGCUCCUUCCUCUGGAGAUGGGUUAGUAGAGGUUCAACCUCCUUUGUUCUCUAUGUCUUUCUUGGGGUGGCUACAUAGACAACGUUCAUAAUUUUACCUUUUUAAACACACUGCUCAGUGGCAUUAGGGACAUUCACAAUGUCGCCCAGCCAGCAACACCAUCCAUCACCCUAAAGGGAAACCUUUGCCUCAGAUGAACACUAACUACCCAUGCCUCCCUCCUCUGGACCAGCGGCUACCUGUCCAUUCUUCCUUCCCUGGGCUAUGACUCUGACUGCUCGAGGUUCUGAAUAGAAGUGGGAGCAUAUGCUAUUUGUCUCUCUCUGUAAUGGGCUUAUUUCCCUCAGCAGAACUAGUCUUUAAGGCUCAUCCCUACUGCAGCCUGGGCAGAAUCUCCUUCCAUUCUAAGACUGAAAAGUACUCCACUGAACCGAGAGACCACACUUUGUCUAUCCCUUCAUCCAUGGAUGGAGAUUUGGGUGCUUCCAUGUCUCCCUCUCAGGAAUCAGGCUGAUAUGAGCAUGGGUGCACAAGAAGCUGUUCAAGUCCCUGCCUUUCCUGUUGUGUAGAAAUAGCCAGAAGAGAAAUUGCUGGAUCAUUCGUUCCCCUGGGAGUGCGUCCACUUCGCCCUUAUUUAAUGGAUGCCCAAAACGUCAGCUGUUGGGGUUCGUGGUGGCCACCGUCGAUGGGUCCUCGGAACCACAUCCAUGGCUCUGGCCGAGUGGCGAGUGUGGUACGUCAACAGCACCUCGCUCUUAUCCUCCCGCCUAGCCUGUGUGGGAGUGUGGAGAGCCUGCAUUUUUCAUCACGGCAACGGCCUCGACUGCCCCAUCGGGUGUCAGGAUUAUAGCUACUUAGAUUCCUCCGUCCCACUGGAUAUCCGUGUUGCUCAAAUAGUCCUGCUGCUCGCCACCGUUCUAGGGCUUUUCAGCAAAGCUGCCAUCAUCUUUGCGCUUAAGAACAUGUACCUGAGCAAAGCGCAGAAGACCUGUGAUCCAUCUGCUGUUGCAGGAAUGCUGAGCAUAGCUGCUAGUGUCUGCAUCCUAGCUGCUGUGGUCUGGAACCAACUGUCCAUCCAGACCGAAGAGGGAAUUGCCUUCCCACCAUCUUUCAAUCUACCCUUCAAGUCGGACUGUCAGGAAGUCGGUGGGGCUGCUCUCAUGGCCUUUCUUGGUUCCUUUGGGUUCUUCUUUGGGGGAUGGCUUACCUCUCUUACAAAUACCUGCUAGACAGCCGAGUGCAUCCUGCAAUUUCAGAUACAUAAAAUUCCUCACCUCAUUGGGUUUCUAAACCCCAAAUUACCAGAGUUCAUUUGAAGUGUUACAUCAGGAUGCUGCGUCCCUUAGUUGUAAAGACUCUAGACCAUCACAAAUGUAGUUUGGGGCAGAUAAUGGCUGUUACCCUUUGUGGCUGCAUUCGGUUCCCUCGUUGAACAAAGAAAAUGCCAUUAAAAAAAUCUUAC